This 552-nucleotide ribosomal RNA is filed under the name uncultured eukaryote. RNAcentral describes it as "SSU rRNA". It matches the Rfam family "Eukaryotic small subunit ribosomal RNA", at positions 4 to 569 of the family's 1831-position model. The record is from RNAcentral.
CUGGUUGAUCCUGCCAGUAGUCAUAUGCUUGUCUUAAAGACUAAGCCAUGCAUGUCUAAGUAUAAAUAAUAUACAGUGAAACUGCGAAUGGCUCAUUAAAACAGUUAUAGUUUAUUCGAUAAUCAAACCUACAUGGAUAACCGUAGUAAUUCUAGAGCUAAUACAUGCUGUCAAACCUAACUUCUGGAAGGGUUGUAUUUAUUAGAUAUAAACCAAUGCCCUCGGGCGUUGUGAUGAUUCAUAAUAACUGAGCGAAUCGAGGCCGUGCCUUGAUGGAUCGUUCAAGUUUCUGCCCUAUCAGCUUUCGAUGGUAGUGUAUUGGACUACCAUGGCAGUCACGGGUAACGGGGAAUUAGGGUUCGAUUCCGGAGAGGGAGCCUGAGAAAUGGCUACCACUUCUAAGGAAGGCAGCAGGCGCGUAAAUUACCCAAUCCUGAUUCAGGGAGGUAGUGACAAGAAAUAACAACUCGGGUCCCUCGUGGAUUGCGAGAUUGCAAUGAGAACAAUUUAAACCACUUAUCCAGUAACAAUUGGAGGACAAGUCUGGUGCCA